Molecule: non-coding RNA, 2482 nt
Organism: Pelobates cultripes (western spadefoot toad)
Lineage: Eukaryota; Metazoa; Chordata; Amphibia; Anura; Pelobatidae
Source: the annotation of a GenBank genome assembly
GCGGAGCUUGUACACCAAGCCGUGCAGACGAGCUCCUGCCAAACGGGCAAAAAACAGGGCAAAUGCGGAGGAAAUAUGACCCAAAGCCCUCCACGGGUGCACCACCCACGUUGGGGGUGCCCCGCCGACCCGAUAGACACUACCUCGGGGCCAGGAGCGUGGAGACCCAAGCGCGGCCUACUGGGGCUGGAGCGGGGGAGAGACGGCUGCUAUCCUCAAUGCAGAGGCCCCCAAGCGACUUACCUCCAACCUACCCCCCCUGGACCGGUGGGGGAUAUCCCGGUCCCCACUUGACGAAGUGACCAGCAUGAAAAGCAGACCAACCAGCCACACGGCAAACAGGGGUGACAGGCCUCCACAGCACAGCCAAGAUGGCUGCCCAACGCAGACCUCCAGAGCGGAGCACCCACAGCAAGUCGUCCCCGCCACUAAAGGGGACCUUUGACUGGCUCUGCAAAUGUUUAAUGGACGCACUGCACAGUCGAGGCGCGACCUACCUCCAAGCGGAAAUCCUGUUGGCCUCGUGGAUCUGUCCAGCAAUGCGGCGCAACCAUUACAGACGCACACCAUGAGCCUCAAAAGCGGCCGUCCGGCAGCGCAGAAUCCUGCAGUCCCCAAGGCGGGAAAAGAUGCCACGCUUCUCCGGCGCAAGCACCCACCCGCAACCACUCUACAGUGAGACCUCCACACAAGCGGCACCUAAAAAGCUUUCACCAAACCAGCUUCUCAGUGUCUGGUACGGCAUGGCCCGACUCCCUGCCACCAGCGACACAGACCGAGAGAUCGGGCGGCCGCAUACCCCUCAAGACACCAUCGGAGCUGGCUCCCAGCACAGUGGCACCCUGCUCAGGAGCUCCAGGGGAGGGCGCAGACCGCCACACCGGGAGGACUCUAAGAUCCUGCAGGGCAUCGGCUGACCGACGCCACAGACGUCCUGCUCUACCCCCAACUGUCCGCAUUUACACAGCAGACACACUCACCUUGUGAAGAUGGACAGUCAGGAGGGGUAACCAGAUAUAAAGUUUGUUUCAUCAGUUCUAACUUAGCUUGUUUCUCCUACUGCUCUAAUCUGCUAGAACCGUAUACUAGAUGUCAUUUCCCAACAUAAAGCUUGUAGCCUAAUAUUUAUAAAUAAGCAUGAUAUAUGUAUGUAACUUAGCUAUGUCUUAGCAAGCACAGUGGCUGUAAAGUAUAGCUUAGCGCAAACGUGAUCUCUAUUAGUCUUACUGUUUUACCGUGAUAUAAUCUGCUGCAAGGUUAGCGAGAACCACUAAAAGAUUAUUCAUAUCAAAUGCGUAGGCUUAAUAAAUAUGAUAGAUAGAUCUGUUAUACCUAAUGUAAUACACAGCAGAGAGGGAGGAGGACUAAAACUAAAUAGCUGCUAACUGGAACGAUAGGGAUCCACUAAAAGCCUAUACAAUAGAAAGGAAAAAGCACUAAAAAGUGAUAAAACACUAAAAAGUGUAAAAGAUCCAGGAGCUAUCUAGUAUAUGGCUCAAAAAUAUGAAUAUGAAAUGCUGGAUAAAAUACUAUAUAAAAUACUACAAGGAUGCAACAAUAAAAAUGUGACAAUAAAAAUGUGUGCUAUGCCUUUAAGAGAAAUGAGUAUCAAUAAAUCGGAGAUGGGACUAAGUGAUGCAACUGAUAAGUUCUAAAAAAAUAGCCAUAAAAGGUAUAUAAAACAGUAUAUAAAUCAAAUGGUAGGAAAAAAAUAAAAAAAAUAAAAAUGAAUAAAUAGAUAAUGUUCCAAACAAUGCAAGGUGCAGUAACACACUGUCCCUGAAAGGGUACAGGAUAACAGAUAGUUUAUACUUACACCUAAAUAAUAUACUUUGUAUAGACAAAGUUGCAAAUGUAGCACUACAGUAUAAGGAACUGUGUGCUAAAAUAAAAAAUAUAACGUGGAUACAUAUAAACAAUGUAGAGAGAGAAAAACUAGGUUAAAAUAUAGAGUCCAGUUUAUUGAAAAUAUGAAUUAAAAUAGGAAUUAAUCAAAAAAUAAUGGUCAGUUCAUAUGCAGAUAUAUGUUACCAGUCCAAUGAAGUCCACAAAAUUUCAAAGACCCUCGGAAUCAGCCAGGAUGGAUGUGGAUUGAACUGGCAGCUAAUGCCCUGUAGUCUGACUGCCGGUUGAGGACGGCGUGCAGAUCAAUGUGUGUCCCAACACGGACCUCACUCCGGGGGAUGUGCACAACGGAUGUUUUGAGUCCACAGGUUCACCAAGGGUCCUGAGCGAGUAAAUACUUCUAUUGCUGGUUUCUGACAAAGUUCAAAACAAUGCUUGUUGUCUAACGCGUUUCGUGGGGAAGUGGCCCCACUUCUUCAGAGACGUAAUACAAGCUGAUAUUGUAGCCACGCUUAAAUACAUAUUGUGCUAAUUGAUAUGGAACAUUAAAAUGACAGCAAAUAUAAUAAAAAUAAAAAUAAAUAAUAAAUGUAUGCCGAGAGCGUCAUCAACAUUAAAAAUAUAUAAAAAAGUAUAU